This is a long non-coding RNA of Boleophthalmus pectinirostris (great blue-spotted mudskipper), 228 nucleotides long. RefSeq lists it as uncharacterized. The transcript has 3 exons. NCBI's taxonomy places the organism in Eukaryota, Metazoa, Chordata, Actinopteri, Gobiiformes, Gobiidae. The record is from RefSeq and is a predicted model, not a curated record.
CAUCAACAAGUUAGACUUCUUCGCCAGAAGGUCACGGGUGAAUGUUUUUUUUUUUUUUUUUUUUAACCAUUGGAUUCAGGAAUACAAUGUCUCUGAGGUUUUUAUUAAAGCACUUGGGAAUAGUGUUUCUGAUACUUCUUAUGGCCAGUUUGCAAACAAAAGCCAAAACACUAAGAAAAAGAACCAUCAGUGAAGUGCAGCUUAUGCAUAAUGUCCAAGAACACAAAC